Molecule: ribosomal RNA, 1008 nt
Filed under: Staphylococcus aureus
Lineage: Bacteria; Bacillati; Bacillota; Bacilli; Caryophanales; Staphylococcaceae
Description: partial 23S ribosomal RNA
Rfam family: Bacterial large subunit ribosomal RNA
Source: RNAcentral
GAUUAAGUUAUUAAGGGCGCACGGUGGAUGCCUUGGCACUAGAAGCCGAUGAAGGACGUUACUAACGACGAUAUGCUUUGGGGAGCUGUAAGUAAGCUUUGAUCCAGAGAUUUCCGAAUGGGGAAACCCAGCAUGAGUUAUGUCAUGUUAUCGAUAUGUGAAUACAUAGCAUAUCAGAAGGCACACCCGGAGAACUGAAACAUCUUAGUACCCGGAGGAAGAGAAAGAAAAUUCGAUUCCCUUAGUAGCGGCGAGCGAAACGGGAAGAGCCCAAACCAACAAGCUUGCUUGUUGGGGUUGUAGGACACUCUAUACGGAGUUACAAAGGACGACAUUAGACGAAUCAUCUGGAAAGAUGAAUCAAAGAAGGUAAUAAUCCUGUAGUCGAAAAUGUUGUCUCUCUUGAGUGGAUCCUGAGUACGACGGAGCACGUGAAAUUCCGUCGGAAUCUGGGAGGACCAUCUCCUAAGGCUAAAUACUCUCUAGUGACCGAUAGUGAACCAGUACCGUGAGGGAAAGGUGAAAAGCACCCCGGAAGGGGAGUGAAAUAGAACCUGAAACCGUGUGCUUACAAGUAGUCAGAGCCCGUUAAUGGGUGAUGGCGUGCCUUUUGUAGAAUGAACCGGCGAGUUACGAUUUGAUGCAAGGUUAAGCAGUAAAUGUGGAGCCGUAGCGAAAGCGAGUCUGAAUAGGGCGUUUAGUAUUUGGUCGUAGACCCGAAACCAGGUGAUCUACCCUUGGUCAGGUUGAAGUUCAGGUAACACUGAAUGGAGGACCGAACCGACUUACGUUGAAAAGUGAGCGGAUGAACUGAGGGUAGCGGAGAAAUUCCAAUCGAACCUGGAGAUAGCUGGUUCUCUCCGAAAUAGCUUUAGGGCUAGCCUCAAGUGAUGAUUAUUGGAGGUAGAGCACUGUUUGGACGAGGGGCCCCUCUCGGGUUACCGAAUUCAGACAAACUCCGAAUGCCAAUUAAUUUAACUUGGGAGUCAGAACAUGGGUGAUAAGGUC